This 125-nucleotide small nuclear RNA is filed under the name Vicugna pacos (alpaca). RNAcentral's name for it is "U1 spliceosomal RNA (ENSVPAG00000015849.1)". It matches the Rfam family "U1 spliceosomal RNA", at positions 1 to 119 of the family's 166-position model. From Rfam's summary of the family: U1 is a small nuclear RNA (snRNA) component of the spliceosome (involved in pre-mRNA splicing). Its 5' end forms complementary base pairs with the 5' splice junction, thus defining the 5' donor site of an intron. There are significant differences in sequence and secondary structure between metazoan and yeast U1 snRNAs, the latter being much longer (568 nucleotides as compared to 164 nucleotides in human). Lineage: Eukaryota; Metazoa; Chordata; Mammalia; Artiodactyla; Camelidae. The record is from RNAcentral.
AUAUGUACCUGGCAGGGGAGACACUAUUAUCACGAAGGUGGUAUUCCUAGGGUGAGGCUUAUCCAUUGCACUCCGAAUGUGCUGACCCCUGCACUUUCCCCUGAAAAAAAAUUGAAAAAUAGAGC